CGGAGGGUGCAAGCGUUGCUCGGAAUUAUUGGGCGUAAAGGGUAGGUAGGUGGUCUCAUUUGUCUGGGGUGAAAGCCUUGAGCUUAACUCAAGAAGUGCCCCGGAAACGGUGAGACUAGAGUCUUGGAGAGGGUCGUGGAAUUCCCGGUGUAGCGGUGAAAUGCGUAGAGAUCGGGAGGAACACCAGAGGCGAAGGCGGCGACCUGGACAAGUACUGACACUCAACUACGAAAGCGUGGGGAGCAAACAGGAUUAGAUACCCUGGUAGUCCACGCUGUAAACGAUGGGUACUAGAUUUGGUGGGUCUUGACCCCCGCCGAAUCGGCGCUAACGCAAUAAGUACCCCGCCUGGGAAGUACGGUCGCAAGACUA
RNAcentral lists this ribosomal RNA (372 nucleotides) under uncultured organism. RNAcentral describes it as "bacterial SSU rRNA". It matches the Rfam family "Bacterial small subunit ribosomal RNA", at positions 526 to 896 of the family's 1533-position model. The record is from RNAcentral.